Molecule: long non-coding RNA, 199 nt
Filed under: Lathyrus oleraceus (garden pea)
Lineage: Eukaryota; Viridiplantae; Streptophyta; Magnoliopsida; Fabales; Fabaceae
Description: Pisum sativum (pea) long non-coding RNA (PSAT_LNC018489)
Source: RNAcentral
GGAGUUUCCGUUGUGAUUUUUGCCCUUUGCUGUAUUGGCGUUUUCCCCAAUAUAUGCAAUUUUCCCCGGCAGGGAGAUUCUGUGUGAAUCUUUUUCCCCAGUCCGAGUCUGGAUUUUCAUCUGAAGUAUCCUUCGUGGAUAGUUUGAGUCAGCUUGAGUCUUUCCAAUGGAUGUGUCUUCCUUUGGAACUCUUUUUCCC